Molecule: ribosomal RNA, 605 nt
Filed under: Pseudozyma sp. YM24387
Lineage: Eukaryota; Fungi; Basidiomycota; Ustilaginomycetes; Ustilaginales; Ustilaginaceae
Description: eukaryotic LSU rRNA
Rfam family: Eukaryotic large subunit ribosomal RNA
Source: RNAcentral
CUAGUACGGCGAGUGAAGAGGGAAGAGCCCAAGAUUGAAAGCUGGCGUCUUCGGCGUCCGCAUUGUAAUCUCAAGAAGUGUUUUCCGCUUCGGACCAUGCCUAAGUCCCUUGGAAAAGGGCAUCAUAGAGGGUGAUAAUCCCGUUCAUGGCAUGGAGCGCCCGAAGCUUUGUGAUACGCUUUCUAAGAGUCGAGUUGUUUGGGAAUGCAGCUCAAAAUGGGUGGUAAAUGCCAUCUAAGGCUAAAUAUUGGGGAGAGACCGAUAGCGAACAAGUACAGUGAUGGAAAGAUGAAAAGAACUUUGAAAAGAGAGUUAAACAGUACGUGAAAUUGCCAAAAGGGAAGGGUAGGAGGUCAGAGAUGCGUCUUGGAAUUCAGCCUUGCUUCUGCUUGGUGUUUUUUCCAUUUUGCAGGCCAACGUCGGUUUUGGGCACUGGAGAAGGGUGGAAGGAACGUGGCACCUCUCGGGGUGUGUUAUAGCCUUCUACUGGAUACAGCGACCGAGACCGAGGACAGCAGCGUACUCGCAAGAGCGGGCCUUCGGGCACCUUUACGCUUAGGGCGUUGGCAUAAUGGCCCUCUACCACCCGUCUUGAACACGGAACC